RNAcentral lists this ribosomal RNA (253 nucleotides) under uncultured bacterium. Its description in RNAcentral is "partial 16S ribosomal RNA". It matches the Rfam family "Bacterial small subunit ribosomal RNA", at positions 524 to 776 of the family's 1533-position model. The record is from RNAcentral.
UACAGAGGGGGCAAGCGUUGUUCGGAAUUACUGGGCGUAAAGGGCGCGUAGGCGGCCUGUUAAGUCGAACGUGAAAUCCCCGGGCUCAACCCGGGAACUGCGUCCGAUACUGGAAGGCUUGAAUCCGGGAGAGGGAUGCGGAAUUCCAGGUGUAGCGGUGAAAUGCGUAGAUAUCUGGAGGGACACCGGUGGCGAAGGCGGCAUCCUGGACCGGCAUUGACGCUGAGGCGCGAAAGCCAGGGGAGCAAACGGG